GCUGGAACAAGAUAAGGUUGAAGAGACAGGUGUCAUGACUAAAGUGUUUCAGUUUGAAAACAUGCUGUCUUAAAGUGUGAGAAGAAUUGCAAACCAAUUCAGAGCAGCACUGGCAUUUCUUUUUAGAACAAGUGGUGCAGUUAUGUUGUCAAUGAGUUGAACACUCGAGGAAGUUUACAUUUCUGGACUCUUGGGAACAUUUAAGAUAAACUUGAGUGAUUCUGCUGAUGCUGGAGAUCCAGAAUCCAGAGCAACACCCACAAGAUGCUGAAGGAACACGGCAGAAGCAGAAGAAAACUAUUACUUUGAAGACAACACAAGUUGGAAAAGAAUCAAGGCCCGCCACCAUGAAAGAGCCUCGGGCUCAAGUGCAAUUUACCUCCGGCGAUACAGAACAGGAAACUGCGGCAACAUCAACCAUUUCCAAAGAAAAAGAGCAACAGGAAUUGUGCAUGCGUAAAGGAAGGGGCAUACGCAAACACGAGCAACCCAAACUACAAAUCCCAGCUAUGAUCAGAACUGAAAGUGAAAGUGAAUAUGAGGUGGAAUCAGAUUCUCUGGAUAAAUCAGACGAAGAUGAAGAGACAAACAAAGAAGAGCAACAGAAAGAGGUUGGAGGUGAUAUUGGAGACAUUAAAAAAUCUUUGGUGCAAAUAGUGCAUGAAUUAAAAGCAUUAAAAGUAAUAAAAAAAAUAAAAAUAUGAAGAUUAUGUUUGAUAAAAUGAUGAAAAGAGGACAAAAUGGACAAGAAAAUUAAAAACUUGGAAGAAACAAUGGGGGACACCAUUGACAGAGUGAAUAAAAUGGAAGAUAAUAUUUCUGACUGGACAUCAGAAAGAAAAUGGUUGUUGGAAAAGUGGAUGUACUUGAAAAUUUUAGCAGACAAAAUAAUAUUAAGAUUGUUGGACUUAAAGAAGGUAUAGAGGGAGAGGAUCCAAUAAAUUUUUUUUCAAAAAUGGAUCCCGGAAAAUUUGGAAAUGGAAGAAGGAACCCAGUUAAUUGAAGUUGAAAGUGCUCACAGAGCCUUAAGACCAAGACCUCAAGUUGAUCAAAACCCACAAUCAAUCCUGAUAAAAUGCUUAAGAUAUCAAGAUAAAGAAAAGAUCCUGAAGGCGGCUGCCCAACGUGCCAGAAAGAGAAACGGGCCAUUGAUGAUAGAAGGGAAAACAGUUCUUUUCUACCCUGAUAUAAGUUAUAACCUUUUGAAGAGAAAGAAGGAAUUUAACCCAGUGAAAAAACUUUUAUGGGAAAAGGGUUAUAAAUUCAUACUGUGCCACCCGGCAACCUUGAUAAUUUUUUUGGAUGAUGGAAAAAGAAGAUCUUUUACUGAUUAUCGGAAUGUGGGAGAAUUUGCACAAGGACUCCCAAAUAUUCACUAAACACAGCCAAAAAUUUAAAAGUGAAAUGGAUUAAAGAUGAAGACAAGGACAGUGAAUGGUGUUGAUGGAUGUUUAAGGACAGAAGAAUAUUUAAAUAUAUUCUAAAUUAUAUGAUACAGGGGGAGAAAGGGAGGAGGUACAGGAACCUAAAAACGCACACAAAAUGAAUCAGGAACAGCUUCUUCCCUUCGGCCAUCAAAUUUCUGAAUGGACACUGAACCCAUGAACACGACCUCACUACAUUUUUUCUUUC
Molecule: long non-coding RNA, 1632 nt
Organism: Hypanus sabinus (Atlantic stingray)
Lineage: Eukaryota; Metazoa; Chordata; Chondrichthyes; Myliobatiformes; Dasyatidae
Exons: 4
Source: RefSeq, a predicted model, not a curated record